GGAGUCGCAAGGUGAAAUACCGCUCUGUUCGCAUUGGAUGUCUAACCACGACCAGUCAUCCUGGUCUGGGACAGUGCCUGGCGGGUAGUUUAACUGGGGCGGUUGCCUCCCAAAGAGUAACGGAGGCGCCCAAAGGUUCCCUCAGCCCGGUUGGCAAUCGGGUGUCGAGUGCAAGUGCACAAGGGAGCUUGACUGCGAGAGCGACGGCUCGAGCAGGGACGAAAGUCGGGACUAGUGAUCCGGUGCCGGUGUACGGACGCGGCAUCGCUCAACGGAUAAAAGGUACCCCGGGGAUAACAGGCUGAUCAUUCCCAAGAGUCCAUAUCGACGGGAUGGUUUGGCACCUCGAUGUCGGCUCGUCGCAUCCUGGGGCUGGAGCAGGUCCCAAGGGUUCGGCUGUUCGCCGAUUAAAGCGGCACGCGAGCUGGGUUCAGAACGUCGUGAGACAGUUUGGUCUCUAUCCUCUGCGCUCGUUGGAAUGCUGAGGAGGCCUGCCCAUAGUACGAGAGGACCUGGGUGGACGAACCUCUGGUAUGCCGGUUGUCACGCCAGUGGCACGGCCGGUUGGCUACGUUCGGGAGGGAUAACCGCUGAAAGCAUCUAAGCGGGAAGCCUGCUCCGAGAUAAGCAUUCCGUG
RNAcentral lists this ribosomal RNA (637 nucleotides) under Bifidobacterium myosotis. RNAcentral's name for it is "partial 23S ribosomal RNA". It matches the Rfam family "Bacterial large subunit ribosomal RNA", at positions 2182 to 2817 of the family's 2925-position model. Lineage: Bacteria; Bacillati; Actinomycetota; Actinomycetes; Bifidobacteriales; Bifidobacteriaceae. The record is from RNAcentral.